GUUCUCAUGUCAUCAUUGUUUUCGACCUCCAUAUCUUCUUCCCAUUCUAAUUUGAUUUGUAGGAUGAUAGAAAUUAGAAAAAUACUACAUUAUGUUGGGAGGGAAUAUAUUUGAAAGUUGUUGAACGUACCUUGACUGAAAAUCAUGUUAUCUUCUUCGCCGGUGUCAUCUUCAAAUAUGACUCCUUCACCUGCGUAGAAAAGUGUGAAUGUAUAUGUUGGUUACUUUUUGUAUUUCUU
This 239-nucleotide long non-coding RNA is filed under the name Setaria italica (foxtail millet). RNAcentral describes it as "long non-coding RNA (SITA_LNC006835)". Lineage: Eukaryota; Viridiplantae; Streptophyta; Magnoliopsida; Poales; Poaceae. The record is from RNAcentral.